AGCGGCGGACGGGUGAGUAACGCGUGGGUAACCUGCCCUGUACACACGGAUAACAUACCGAAAGGUAUGCUAAUACGAGAUAAUAUGCUUUUAUCGCAUGGUAGAAGUAACAAAGCUUUUGCGGUACAGAAUGGACCCGCGUCUGAUUAGCUAGUUGGUAAGGUAACGGCUUACCAAGGCGACGAUCAGUAGCCGACCUGAGAGGGUGAUCGGCCACAUUGGAACUGAGACACGGUCCAAACUCCUACGGGAGGCAGCAGUGGGGAAUAUUGCACAAUGGGCGAAAGCCUGAUGCAGCAACGCCGCGUGAGCGAUGAAGGCCUUCGGGUCGUAAAGCUCUGUCCUCAAGGAAGAUAAUGACGGUACUUGAGGAGGAAGCCCCGGCUAACUACGUGCCAGCAGCCGCGGUAAUACGUAGGGGGCUAGCGUUAUCCGGAAUUACUGGGCGUAAAGGGUGCGUAGGUGGUUUCUUAAGUCAGAGGUGAAAGGCUACGGCUCAACCGUAGUAAGCCUUUGAAACUGGGAAACUUGAGUGCAGGAGAGGAGAGUGGAAUUCCUAGUGUAGCGGUGAAAUGCGUAGAUAUUAGGAGGAACACCAGUUGCGAAGGCGGCUCUCUGGACUGUAACUGACACUGAGGCACGAAAGCGUGGGGAGCAAACAGGAUUAGAUACCCUGGUAGUCCACGCCGUAAACGAUGAGUACUAGCUGU
Molecule: ribosomal RNA, 710 nt
Filed under: uncultured bacterium
Lineage: Bacteria
Description: bacterial SSU rRNA
Rfam family: Bacterial small subunit ribosomal RNA
Source: RNAcentral